GAUGAACGCUGGCGGCGUGCCUAAUACAUGCAAGUCGAGCGAACGGACGAGAAGCUUGCUUCUCUGACGUUAGCGGCGGACGGGUGAGUAACACGUGGAUAACCUACCUAUAAGACUGGGAUAACUUCGGGAAACCGGAGCUAAUACCGGAUAAUAUUUUGAACCGCAUGGUUCAAAAGUGAAAGACGGUCUUGCUGUCACUUAUAGAUGGAUCCGCGCUGCAUUAGCUAGUUGGUAAGGUAACGGCUUACCAAGGCAACGAUGCAUAGCCGACCUGAGAGGGUGAUCGGCCACACUGGAACUGAGACACGGUCCAGACUCCUACGGGAGGCAGCAGUAGGGAAUCUUCCGCAAUGGGCGAAAGCCUGACGGAGCAACGCCGCGUGAGUGAUGAAGGUCUUCGGAUCGUAAAACUCUGUUAUUAGGGAAGAACAUAUGUGUAAGUAACUGUGCACAUCUUGACGGUACCUAAUCAGAAAGCCACGGCUAACUACGUGCCAGCAGCCGCGGUAAUACGUAGGUGGCAAGCGUUAUCCGGAAUUAUUGGGCGUAAAGCGCGCGUAGGCGGUUUUUUAAGUCUGAUGUGAAAGCCCACGGCUCAACCGUGGAGGGUCAUUGGAAACUGGAAAACUUGAGUGCAGAAGAGGAAAGUGGAAUUCCAUGUGUAGCGGUGAAAUGCGCAGAGAUAUGGAGGAACACCAGUGGCGAAGGCGACUUUCUGGUCUGUAACUGACGCUGAUGUGCGAAAGCGUGGGGAUCAAACAGGAUUAGAUACCCUGGUAGUCCACGCCGUAAACGAUGAGUGCUAAGUGUUAGGGGGUUUCCGCCCCUUAGUGCUGCAGCUAACGCAUUAAGCACUCCGCCUGGGGAGUACGACCGCAAGGUUGAAACUCAAAGGAAUUGACGGGGACCCGCACAAGCGGUGGAGCAUGUGGUUUAAUUCGAAGCAACGCGAAGAACCUUACCAAAUCUUGACAUCCUUUGACAACUCUAGAGAUAGAGCCUUCCCCUUCGGGGGACAAAGUGACAGGUGGUGCAUGGUUGUCGUCAGCUCGUGUCGUGAGAUGUUGGGUUAAGUCCCGCAACGAGCGCAACCCUUAAGCUUAGUUGCCAUCAUUAAGUUGGGCACUCUAAGUUGACUGCCGGUGACAAACCGGAGGAAGGUGGGGAUGACGUCAAAUCAUCAUGCCCCUUAUGAUUUGGGCUACACACGUGCUACAAUGGACAAUACAAAGGGCAGCGAAACCGCGAGGUCAAGCAAAUCCCAUAAAGUUGUUCUCAGUUCGGAUUGUAGUCUGCAACUCGACUACAUGAAGCUGGAAUCGCUAGUAAUCGUAGAUCAGCAUGCUACGGUGAAUACGUUCCCGGGUCU
This 1372-nucleotide ribosomal RNA is filed under the name uncultured bacterium. RNAcentral's name for it is "bacterial SSU rRNA". It matches the Rfam family "Bacterial small subunit ribosomal RNA", at positions 28 to 1381 of the family's 1533-position model. The record is from RNAcentral.